This is a long non-coding RNA of Hibiscus syriacus, 160 nucleotides long. RefSeq lists it as uncharacterized. The transcript is spliced from 3 exons. The record is from RefSeq and is a predicted model, not a curated record. Lineage: Eukaryota; Viridiplantae; Streptophyta; Magnoliopsida; Malvales; Malvaceae.
UUACUUCACUUUGGCGAUCGUAAUCUGCUUGAAGUUCACCAGUUUUUGAGCCCAUCGUGUUGAUAUUGUCUGAAUUUGUUAGUGUAGUAAGGCUGUUUUUGAUCAAAGAAAAGUAUUUCUUUGUAUUUGUUACAAAUAGGAUGAAGAGCUGAAGAAGACA